Capsicum annuum is the source of this 916-nucleotide long non-coding RNA. RefSeq lists it as uncharacterized. NCBI's taxonomy places the organism in Eukaryota, Viridiplantae, Streptophyta, Magnoliopsida, Solanales, Solanaceae. The record is from RefSeq and is a predicted model, not a curated record. The transcript has 2 exons.
UUCACACUAAAUCACGCAUACCUCACCAUUAGAAUGGACAUAGACACCAAUACUGCAAAAAGGGAUGGAGGCCCCACUUGAUUGGGGGGACUGAUUUCUCUUCACUCACACACCUCACUUUUUAUUGAUAUAUACAUACACUCACUGGUAGAGAAGGGGGGAGGAUAUACACAUAUCAUCAUCUUUCCAUGGAUUAGAAAUCAUAGGGAGCAAACACAGGGAACUCACGAUCACACGGGGAGGAUACGGAUUGACACCAUUUUUGGGGGAUUUCUUCUUCUUGGAGCAUAAUUCACACACUCAUACACACACAGUGAGGGGCGAGUGAUGGAGACACAGUGAGUGGGAAAGGGUUUUUGAACGCAUACAGAACAGAGAGAUCGAGAGAGUGAGACGAAGAUCGCUGGACUACUUUUUCGGUGAAGCUCUCACCAGUGACACUAGAAUCGUCAUCGAAGAAGCUCUAAUGAUCUCGUUCCCUCCGUACUUGCAUCCAAAAGUCAUUCAGGAUCCCAUUUUCCAUCCAAAUCCAGUCGAAAGAAUUCGUUAUGCCCCGAUCAAUUAAUCGUAAUUAAUUUCGGGCCUCACUUUCUUGAUACCGAGUUGGAUUUUGAUCGUGAUUGGGGUUUUCUUGUUCGAGGAUUUCGAUCUUCGGACUUCUUUAUUAUCAACGGAAUCGAUCUAUUGAGGGAAUACCCCACGAAAUUGUGUAUUCAGAAGGAGGUUCGUGAUCAAGGCCCGAGGCAUCGGUUAAAGCAUUGGAGAGUAGUUUAGGACUAGUGUAGGUUAGUGUAGGUUUAUAUUUCCUCAUUUCUUCUAUUCCGGGUUGUAAUAAUUGGACCGAACACUAUAUCUUUGGACUUGUUUUGUCUUGUUUGUUUGAUUGAUUGUUUGGUAUUUUUAUGUGGUUUAUACA